RNAcentral lists this ribosomal RNA (292 nucleotides) under uncultured eukaryote. RNAcentral describes it as "partial 18S ribosomal RNA". It matches the Rfam family "Eukaryotic small subunit ribosomal RNA", at positions 6 to 371 of the family's 1831-position model. The record is from RNAcentral.
GGUUGAUCCUGCCAGUAGUCAUAUGCUUGUCUCAAAGAUUAAGCCAUGCAUGUCUAAGUAUAAGCAUUAUACAGUGAAACUGCGAAUGGCUCAUUAAAUCAGUUAUAGUUUAUUUGAAGAUAAUACCAUUAGGAUAACCGUGGUAAUUCUAGAGCUAAUACUUGCUUUGGGCUUUAUUAGAUAUGAAUCACAAUAACUUCAGAUCGUCUUUGACGCUUCAUUCAAAUUUCUGCCCUAUCAGCUAGAUGGCACGGUAGUGGCGUACCAUGGCAGUAACGGGUAACGGGGAAUU